RNAcentral lists this ribosomal RNA (460 nucleotides) under uncultured bacterium. RNAcentral's name for it is "partial 16S ribosomal RNA". It matches the Rfam family "Bacterial small subunit ribosomal RNA", at positions 338 to 795 of the family's 1533-position model. The record is from RNAcentral.
CCUACGGGCGGCAGCAGUGAGGAAUAUUGGUCAAUGGACGAGAGUCUGAACCAGCCAAGUAGCGUGAAGGAUGACUGCCCUAUGGGUUGUAAACUUCUUUUAUAUGGGAAUAAAAUGUUCCACGUGUGGGAUUUUGUAUGUACCAUAUGAAUAAGGAUCGGCUAACGCCGUGCCAGCAGCCGCGGUAAUACGGAGGAUCCGAGCGUUAUCCGGAUUUAUUGGGUUUAAAGGGAGCGUAGGUGGAUUGUUAAGUCAGUUGUGAAAGUUUGCGGCUCAACCGUAAAAUUGCAGUUGAAACUGGCAGUCUUGAGUACAGUAGAGGUGGGCGGAAUUCGUGGUGUAGCGGUGAAAUGCUUAGAUAUCACGAAGAACUCCGAUUGCGAAGGCAGUUCACUGGACUGCAACUGACACUGAGGCUCGAAAGUGUGGGUAUCAAACAGGAUUAGAUACCCCUGUAGUC